RNAcentral lists this ribosomal RNA (120 nucleotides) under Pteropus alecto (black flying fox). Lineage: Eukaryota; Metazoa; Chordata; Mammalia; Chiroptera; Pteropodidae. The record is from RNAcentral.
GUCUGCAGCCGUGCCACCCUGAACAAGCCCAAUUCCCUCUGAUCUCGGAAGCUAAGCAGGGUCGUGCCUGGUUUGUACUUGGAUGGGAGACCACCUAGGGUGCUAUAGGUGUUUAAAAAA